AAGAUAACUCACUGUUUGUACUUUAAGUUUGGCAUUCGUAAAACUUUAUCUUACUGCAAAUAUAUGUUUACUUAGCUCCGCUACGAGUCGCUAGGUAAACUCUGAAUUUUACAUAGGCCAGACUUAAAAAAAAUACAGUUAUCUCCUAAUUGAUAUUUCUUUCAAAAUUUUAUGCGAAAAAGCCGACAAUCUAUACAAAAUGUUUUACUAACCCCAAACAAUGGAAGUGAUUUAUGAAUACUAGUAUAACAUUAAAAUUCAUGUUCUUAACGUCUAGAUUCAUUAGUGGAUGUAUCAUAGAAAUAAGAAUACGUGGUAUGAUUGUCAAUGAGACAACUCGCCAUCCAAACUCACUGUGUAAAAAGUUUACAAUCAUUGGUCAAAAUACAACAUUCAACACGGAACCGUGUCUCACACCGAAGAGCACGCUAUUAAGGUCCCAAAAAUUACUAAUGUAAACAAUUCAAACAGAAAAACCAACGGUCUAAUCUACACUAAAACAAACGAGAAACGCGAAACACCAAUGCACCACAUCAUCAAACGGCAACCACUAAACAGCAAAUUCCUGAUAUAGGACAGGUGCAGCGGGUUUAAAUGUUUUUUUACAGACGACAAGCUUUACCCUAACCUGAAAUGGUAGUGUAACAUUACAAGAUAGAACAACAAACAAUGAAAUAUCAAUGGAAAUGGAUGGUUUAACUUAAUCAAAACGACAUGUUAACAAAAAAAAAACCAAGUAAAAACACACUGAACGGAUAAAUAUGAUCUAUGACACAAUAUAAAUACAAAAUUAAUAAAAAAAAAAAAGGGGCGAUAAAAAUCAAUGUAAAAAAGUCAACUAUAACCUUGGAUAAAAAAUCGCUAAAUGAAAAGUCAAAGCAAUCUCAAUAUAGAAAAUGAACAUAAAUGAAACAUUCGGAAAAAAAAUUACAAAUUUAGUUAUGUUUUAAUUUGAUGAUGACAAC
This 965-nucleotide long non-coding RNA is filed under the name Mytilus galloprovincialis (Mediterranean mussel). The record is from RNAcentral. Lineage: Eukaryota; Metazoa; Mollusca; Bivalvia; Mytilida; Mytilidae.